Non-coding RNA from Clostridium sp. DMHC 10, 117 nucleotides. NCBI's taxonomy places the organism in Bacteria, Bacillati, Bacillota, Clostridia, Eubacteriales, Clostridiaceae. The record is from Rfam.
UCUUCAAAUUUGCAGAUAGUUGUAACACCCGUUCCCAUUCCGAACACGAAGGUUAAGAACUAAUACGCCGAUGGUAGUGCAGGGGAGGCCCUGUGUGAGAGUAGGACGUUGCCAGGU